Molecule: long non-coding RNA, 1124 nt
Filed under: Anas platyrhynchos platyrhynchos (common mallard)
Lineage: Eukaryota; Metazoa; Chordata; Aves; Anseriformes; Anatidae
Description: lncRNA (ENSAPLG00000024627.1)
Source: RNAcentral
UUUUAUUAAAAACCCUAGCAGUCAUAAGGAAGGCUGACAGUAUAGUAAAGUUAUUAUGCACCUGCACAAGUAAUAUAUGUAUUGCCUCUUUCAGUAUAUUAGCUUUGUGCUGCUGCCAGUUGUUAAGGCAUUUUGGAAAGUAAAAAUAUGUGUGGAAAAGUCCAUUAGCAGCUUUAAACCAGUGAUGCUAUGCACCUCGUGAGACAGAAAUUUCAUCACCUCUAGAGACCAAAGGGGACCUAGCAUCCUCCCUGGAAGAAAAGCUUCCUCAGGGAGUACCUGGCUGCUUCACCACUAUGGCAAGCAGCCCCCUCCCCUUCUCCUUUGCAUCUCAGCCUCGUUUCCAGACUGGAUUGGGGCCAGAUGGACUGUGGGCAGGUGUGCAACCCUGGGGGCACCAGCACAAGGUCAAAGGAGCGUUUUGGCUGUCCUGGGGAAUGGAGCGCUACCAACGGAUCAUUAGCAGAGUUCCUUGGCUUGUAUGGAGCUUGAUUAGGAAGUUGCAGUGCUUCGAAUGUUAACCUGGAAAUGUUAACCUGGACACUGGAAAAUGGGCAAUGUGAUAAGAAGCUCCCAGGGAUAUGUGUAUGGACUAUUGUAUUACAGAUGCAUAUUGGGAGGUUAUUAUUAAGACAAAAAUCAGUUCUGUCAGUUUUUUUCUUACUCACUCUUACUAACUAUAACACUUAAUUCACUAAUGCUGGCAGAGAGAGGUGUGUAUUUAACCUGACAAGAUUCACGGUGAAUAGACGAAUAUGUUUUCAUAGUCCAUAUGCCAUUUUUCAUAGACAUAUGAAUAUGAAAAUGCAGAUAACAGUGAAGGAAUGAUGCAGCAGAAUAUGAUGUAAUAUUUCUAUUUUUAUGGACUUUGUACACUUUAAGUGAGGAUGAAUCUAUAAAGGCAGCUCAAUUUCACUGUCUAAAUCUGGCAUACAGCUUGCUAAAAGCUAUUCAAACUUAGCUCCUACGCUCCUUUUUUUUUUUUUUUUUUUUUUUUUUGUUCUUCCCACAAAAGACUUGAGCUUUCAGUCUGUUGAUAGGUGAAUGUUAUUUUUCAAAUGACUGUUUUUUUUUAGAGUAUCUAGGAAACAAAACAAUAAUGUUGGUCAGAAAAGCAAAGAGAA